CCUACGGGUGGCUGCAGUGAGGAAUAUUGGUCAAUGGGCGGAAGCCUGAACCAGCCAAGUCGCGUGAGGGAAUAAGGCCCUACGGGUCGUAAACCUCUUUUGCCGGGGAGCAAGGGCGGGGACGUGUCCCGGCCCGGAGAGUACCCGGAGAAAAAGCAUCGGCUAACUCCGUGCCAGCAGCCGCGGUAAUACGGAGGAUGCGAGCGUUAUCCGGAUUUAUUGGGUUUAAAGGGUGCGCAGGCGGCGAUUUAAGUCAGCGGUAAAAUUUCGGGGCUCAACCCCGACGAGCCGUUGAAACUGGCUGGCUAGAGUGGGCGAGAAGUAUGCGGAAUGCGUGGUGUAGCGGUGAAAUGCAUAGAUAUCACGCAGAACCCCGAUUGCGAAGGCAGCAUACCGGCGCCCGACUGACGCUGAAGCACGAAAGCGUGGGUAUCGAACAGGAUUAGAUACCCUUGUAGUC
This 460-nucleotide ribosomal RNA is filed under the name uncultured bacterium. RNAcentral describes it as "partial 16S ribosomal RNA". It matches the Rfam family "Bacterial small subunit ribosomal RNA", at positions 338 to 795 of the family's 1533-position model. The record is from RNAcentral.